GAUGAACGCUGGCGGCGUGCCUAAUACAUGCAAGUCGAGCGAACGGACGAGAAGCUUGCUUCUCUGAUGUUAGCGGCGGACGGGUGAGUAACACGUGGAUAACCUACCUAUAAGACUGGGAUAACUUCGGGAAACCGGAGCUAAUACCGGAUAAUAUUUUGAACCGCAUGGUUCAAAAGUGAAAGACGGUCUUGCUGUCACUUAUAGAUGGAUCCGCGCUGCAUUAGCUAGUUGGUAAGGUAACGGCUUACCAAGGCAACGAUGCAUAGCCGACCUGAGAGGGUGAUCGGCCACACUGGAACUGAGACACGGUCCAGACUCCUACGGGAGGCAGCAGUAGGGAAUCUUCCGCAAUGGGCGAAAGCCUGACGGAGCAACGCCGCGUGAGUGAUGAAGGUCUUCGGAUCGUAAAACUCUGUUAUUAGGGAAGAACAUAUGUAUAAGUAACUGUGCACAUCUUGACGGUACCUAAUCAGAAAGCCACGGCUAACUACGUGCCAGCAGCCGCGGUAAUACGUAGGUGGCAAGCGUUAUCCGGAAUUAUUGGGCGUAAAGCCGCGCGUAGGCGGUUUUUUAAAGUCUGAUGUGAAAGCCCACGGCUCAACCGUGGAGGGUCAUUGGAAACUGGAAAACUUGAGUGCAGAAGAGGAAAGUGGAAUUCCAUGUGUAGCGGUGAAAUGCGCAGAGAUAUGGAGGAACACCAGUGGCGAAGGCGACUUUCUGGUCUGUAACUGACGCUGAUGUGCGAAAGCGUGGGGAUCAAACAGGAUUAGAUACCCUGGUAGUCCACGCCGUAAACGAUGAGUGCUAAGUGUUAGGGGGUUUCCGCCCCUUAGUGCUGCAGCUAACGCAUUAAGCACUCCGCCUGGGGAGUACGACCGCAAGGUUGAAACUCAAAGGAAUUGACGGGGACCCGCACAAGCGGUGGAGCAUGUGGUUUAAUUCGAAGCAACGCGAAGAACCUUACCAAAUCUUGACAUCCUUUGACAACUCUAGAGAUAGAGCCUUCCCCUUCGGGGGACAAAGUGACAGGUGGUGCAUGGUUGUCGUCAGCUCGUGUCGUGAGAUGUUGGGUUAAGUCCCGCAACGAGCGCAACCCUUAAGCUUAGUUGCCAUCAUUAAGUUGGGCACUCUAAGUUGACUGCCGGUGACAAACCGGAGGAAGGUGGGGAUGACGUCAAAUCAUCAUGCCCCUUAUGAUUUGGGCUACACACGUGCUACAAUGGACAAUACAAAGGGCAGCGAAACCGCGAGGUCAAGCAAAUCCCAUAAAGUUGUUCUCAGUUCGGAUUGUAGUCUGCAACUCGACUACAUGAAGCUGGAAUCGCUAGUAAUCGUAGAUCAGCAUGCUACGGUGAAUACGUUCCCGGGUCU
RNAcentral lists this ribosomal RNA (1374 nucleotides) under uncultured bacterium. RNAcentral's name for it is "bacterial SSU rRNA". It matches the Rfam family "Bacterial small subunit ribosomal RNA", at positions 28 to 1381 of the family's 1533-position model. The record is from RNAcentral.